This 404-nucleotide ribosomal RNA is filed under the name Verrucomicrobiota bacterium. Its description in RNAcentral is "Verrucomicrobia bacterium partial 16S ribosomal RNA". It matches the Rfam family "Bacterial small subunit ribosomal RNA", at positions 355 to 776 of the family's 1533-position model. Lineage: Bacteria; Pseudomonadati; Verrucomicrobiota. The record is from RNAcentral.
UGGGGAAUAUUGCACAAUGGGGGAAACCCUGAUGCAGCGACGCCGCGUGAGCGAUGAAGGCUUUCGAGUCGUAAAGCUCUGUCCUAUGGGAAGAUAAUGACGGUACCAUAGAAGAAAGCCCCGGCUAAUUACGUGCCAGCAGCCGCGGUAAUACGUAAGGGGCGAGCGUUGUCCGGAAUUAUUGGGCGUAAAGAGUGCGUAGGCGGCAAAUUAAGUCAGAUGUGAAAACUAAGGGCUCAACCCAUAGAUUGCAUCUGAAACUGAGAUGCUUGAGUCAAGGAGAGGAAAGUGGAAUUCCUAGUGUAGCGGUGGAAUGCGUAGAUAUUAGGAGGAAUACCGGUGGCGAAGGCGACUUUCUGGACUUGAACUGACGCUGAGGCACGAAAGCGUGGGGAGCAAACAGG